This 448-nucleotide ribosomal RNA is filed under the name uncultured bacterium. RNAcentral's name for it is "bacterial SSU rRNA". It matches the Rfam family "Bacterial small subunit ribosomal RNA", at positions 329 to 793 of the family's 1533-position model. The record is from RNAcentral.
UGCCAGACUCCUACGGGAGGCAGCAGUGGGGGAUAUUGCACAAUGGGGGGAACCCUGAUGCAGCGACGCCGCGUGGGUGAAGGAGUAUUUCGGUAUGUAAAGCCCUAUCGGCAGGGAAGAAGCAAGACGGUACCUGACUAAGAAGCCCCGGCUAACUACGUGCCAGCAGCCGCGGUAAUACGUAGGGGGCGAGCGUUAUCCGGAUUCACUGGGUGUAAAGGGAGCGUAGACGGCCAUGCAAGCCAGGGGUGAAAGCCCGGGGCCCAACCCCGGGACUGCUUUGGAAACUGUGUAACUGGAGUACAGGAGGGGCAGGCGGAAUUCCUGGUGUAGCGGUGAAAUGCGUAGAUAUCAGGAGGAACACCGGCGGCGAAGGCGGCCUGCUGGACUGAAACUGACGUUGAGGCUCGAAAGCGUGGGGAGCAAACAGGAUUAGAUACCCGAGUAC